RNAcentral lists this ribosomal RNA (402 nucleotides) under uncultured bacterium. RNAcentral describes it as "bacterial SSU rRNA". It matches the Rfam family "Bacterial small subunit ribosomal RNA", at positions 29 to 430 of the family's 1533-position model. The record is from RNAcentral.
AUUAAACGCUGGCGGCAUGCCUUACACAUGCAAGUCGAACGGCAGCACGGGGUGGUAACACUCUGGUGGCGAGUGGCGGACGGGUGAGUAAAGCAUCGGAACGUGCCCUGGAAUGGGGGAUAACGUAGCGAAAGUUACGCUAAUACCGCAUAUUCUGUGAGCAGGAAAGCAGGGGAUCGCAAGACCUUGCGUUCGAGGAGCGGCCGAUGUCGGAUUAGCUAGUUGGUGGGGUAAAGGCCUACCAAGGCGACGAUCCGUAGCGGGUCUGAGAGGAUGAUCCGCCACACUGGGACUGAGACACGGCCCAGACUCCUACGGGAGGCAGCAGUGGGGAAUUUUGGACAAUGGGCGCAAGCCUGAUCCAGCCAUGCCGCGUGAGUGAAGAAGGCCUCGGUUGUAAGA